This 422-nucleotide ribosomal RNA is filed under the name uncultured bacterium. RNAcentral describes it as "bacterial SSU rRNA". It matches the Rfam family "Bacterial small subunit ribosomal RNA", at positions 355 to 774 of the family's 1533-position model. The record is from RNAcentral.
UGAGGAAUAUUGGACAAUGGGGGCAACCCUGAUCCAGCCAUGCCGCGUGCAGGAAGACGGCCCUACGGGUUGUAAACUGCUUUUGUACGGGAAGAACUCCCCCCACGUGUGGGGGGCUGACGGUACCGUAAGAAUAAGCACCGGCUAACUCCGUGCCAGCAGCCGCGGUAAUACGGAGGGUGCAAGCGUUAUCCGGAAUCAUUGGGUUUAAAGGGUCCGCAGGCUGGGCGGUAAGUCAGUGGUGAAAUGCAGGGGCUCAACCCCGGCACUGCCAUUGAUACUGCCGUUCUUGAAUCGUCGUGAAGUGGCCGGAAUAUGUAGUGUAGCGGUGAAAUGCUUAGAUAUUACAUAGAACACCUAUUGCGAAGGCAGGUCACUAACGGCGCAUUGACGCUGAGGGACGAAAGCGUGGGUAGCGAACA